Molecule: ribosomal RNA, 253 nt
Filed under: uncultured bacterium
Lineage: Bacteria
Description: partial 16S ribosomal RNA
Rfam family: Archaeal small subunit ribosomal RNA
Source: RNAcentral
UACCAGCACCCCGAGUGGUCGGGACGUUUAUUGGGCGUAAAGCAUCCGUAGCCGGUUCUACAAGUCUUCCGUUAAAUCCACCUGCUUAACAGAUGGGCUGCGGAAGAUACUAUGGAGCUAGGAGGCGGGAGAGGCAAGCGGUACUCGAUGGGUAGGGGUAAAAUCCGUUGAUCCAUUGAAGACCACCAGUGGCGAAGGCGGCUUGCCAGAACGCGCUCGACGGUGAGGGAUGAAAGCUGGGGGAGCAAACCGG